Long non-coding RNA from Taeniopygia guttata (zebra finch), 3572 nucleotides. RefSeq lists it as uncharacterized. NCBI's taxonomy places the organism in Eukaryota, Metazoa, Chordata, Aves, Passeriformes, Estrildidae. The record is from RefSeq and is a predicted model, not a curated record.
CAGGCUGGGAACGCCUUCUCUCCCCGCCGCGGAGGGCGUUCCCUGCCCGCGUUCCGUUUGCCCGCAAACAAGCGGCCGUGACACGAACGUUGCGGGAAGCCGCGGGAGUGAGCGCGGGGAGCGUCGUUCCCCCGCCCGGGGCCGCUCCGCCUGCGAGCGAGGGCGGCAGGUGCGAUGCGGGCGCGUCUGCUCGCGGGCGGCGCCGGGGGAGGCUCUGGCCGACGGUGUCCUUGAAAUUAUCUGGAACACCAAGGGGAAAAAAAAAAAUACCCCUGUGAUUUACUUAGAGGCAGAAAUCUAAAAAUGUCGCAGCAGCGUCUGGAGUGCAGGGCUGGGCUGUGGAGCGGGUCCCGUGUGUGCAGCGGCUCGGGCGGCAGCAAAGGGGGCAGGUUCUGAGACGCGAGGCUGGGCACGGCUCGUGUGACGUUCCUUUAUUUUGCUGCCCUGCCGUAACAUGCGGUGAAUGAUGAGUGACGGCAGCGAAAUCCGUGAGACCGUGUGCAGCCCAGGCAGGAGAACGGAACGCAUGCAGGAGCCGGACUGCAUGAGCCCCUAACAACACACGGUCCCGGACGUGUGUGCUGCAGGGAUGUCCCCGCGUUUCAUUGCGCCAAUUGGUCUGCCGCCUUGGGUGUAAUGGAAAUGAGGCAUCAUUUAUUUACAACUUGGUUGAUUCAUGGCAAGGGGAAAAAGAAAAACAGAACUAGAAUAAGUACCUUUGUGAAAGAAAUAUACAAAGGAUAUCCCAGAUCAGACUCUUGAGCGCUUCCAGGUGAAAUACAUUAUAAAAGUGUUAUGUAUUAAUACAUAUAGUCAGGUUCCUGCUUGAUAGAGGUUCUUCUGAGGAAUAAAUGGCUUGCUUUUUAAAGAAACAAGUAAGAAAGCCUGAAAGUAUCUGAAUUUGACAGCAGUAGAAGCUAUCAAGAAUGUCUUGACAGACCAAUCUUGCUAUAGCUUCCUAGAUUGAACCUUUAUUUUAUAAUUAAUCUUUCCAGAUUUAUGAUACCACAUAACAAUUUUUCCUAUGUUAUAAAAAUUUUAUUUAUUUUAUAAACCAACAUAAUCUAUUUGUACUUUCUUUGGAGUUGCUCUUCACCAUUAAAACUUCAUAUGUAACAUAUGGGAUUAUGAAGAGGGUUAUUGCAUUGCACAGCAAGAUCUCAUCUUGUGAACAGAUGAGACAAACAGAGAAUUGUGCAGACUGUCACUGCCUUCUGUGCUAUUCCAUCCACAUCAGCAGGAUCACCAUCUAAGUGUAACUUUUGCCUAGAUGUCUGCAACAUUACGUAUGUUCUGUGAUUUAAGUUUUCAUGAGAUCAAAGUACACAAAAUCAUAGGUCCUAUUGAGCAUAUGGGAAAAGGGUGGGCCAGGUUGUAAUCCCAAUUAAAUUUAACUUUCAGGUUUCUACUAACUUCAGUGAGGACAGUGUUUUACUACCAGUGAAGGGAACAGGAGAGCUGCUGAUACAGAAACCUCACCUGAACUAGAGAAGCGGCAGCAGUUGUAUGCUUUAUAUGCACUUCUGUAACCCAGAACUUUUCUUGACAAGAUUGAAUGGUCAGCAGAACUCAUGGAUCCAAGCAAUAUGUACCUCUAAAGGUGGACAGACAGAGCUUAAAACUGUUCAAACAUGGAGCAACAUGUUCUCUGGUCUGUCACUUCUUCCUCCAUGAGCUCUAAUCCAGCUCCAAUCUUACCGAGCCUCCCUCCAAGCCUUUGCAGCUCACCAGCAGUCCACAUGGAACAGCAGCAGUGGGUUAUAUCUAGUUUGCCCUGCUGUUUGCCCUGUUCUCUUUUACAAACAAGUAUAAGAAAACCAGGUCUCUGGAUUUAACUCUUUUCUUUCAUGUAACUACCCAGCUAAAUGAUCUUGCACUGCCACAGUCAGACACACUCUUAAAAACAAUAGUGAGCUGAAGAACUGAGCACUGUAUUCAAGUGAAGAGACUCUUCAAUUCUCAGAUGCAAGAAAAAUGGAUGAGGUAACUUUAUUUUGUCACAUUAAUGGAGCAGAAAGGCAUGUGUUAAUGUGCUAGCAUUCUAUUAAAUAGAGGUAUUAUAACUCCAACUAUUGCUUACAAGAUAGAAAUGAAAAGUAUGGAUCUUUUCACCUAUUAUAAUACUAUGUAUUUAUUAGUGCAACCUUUGGUACAUUGUCUAUGUAUUUGGUCUGUAAUCUCAAGCAGUAAAUGAACUUUAUAAACUAGCAAACAUCAAACUGAAUGAGACUGAUACAAACCAUCUUUACAGGUGAGGGUUGCUCUCACUUGACUAUUCCAAAAACAACACACAAAAUAUUCAAGUGUCUAAACACCACCAUAGAUAUCUUACCAUAUCCACUCUUCUAGAACUUCUGCCAUCAGUUUUGCAUACCUUUGCAGUCAUGCCACACGCCUGGAUGCAAGUUAGCCCUGACCAACUUCCAAAUAAUCCACAAAUAAUCCACAACUAAUUACAAGAAACUCUUAAAGAAAAAUAAACCAAGAUGGGGGGGAAGAAAAAAAAAAAAAGGAGCUUUGGAAGUAGUGAAAACAAAAAUGAUUAUAAUAGCCUUUAAAAUACCUUCAAUGUGCUCCCUUAUGAAGGGAUCGUCCAUGAUGUUGCUGUGAUUUGUUUUUAGAAUCUUCUCAAAUUCAGUGAUGUCAUUAUUCUGAUAGGCACUUCAGAAAAAACCAAGGGAUUGAAUUUUAAUUUUAAAAGUAAAACAGACUCAUAAGAUUAUGUUCCACAAUUUCUAAAAAAAUAUGUAUUAAGCACUGGAGGAAAAUAUUUAUAUUCAGAACCUUUAUAAGCAGAAACUCGAUUUGAAGAUUAAAUGCAACAGAAAUUACCUUUCUCCUGUUUCAAUUUUAGCAGUAUUUACUGAAGUUUAGUAUGAACAUUUAGUUGUUCCACAAUUGCACUCUAGUUUCAAAACUAUUAUACUUUAAGAAGCUAUUCUUAAAUACCCUGUUUUGAAAAGUAUCAUUACAUGAAUUUUGGCUUCAUGAAGUCAUACUUUAUGGAACAAAUAAGAGCUAAAAAGAGUCUACAAGGCUGUUGCUGUCUCUACAGUAUUCAGCUUAAGCUGAAUGCUGAAAAUACUGAAAGAAAUAAGGACUUCCAGGAUUAUUAAUCAGUCAUUUUUGUAUAAUGUUACUUUUUAGAUUUUUAUUUAUUGGUUAUUUGUGUAUAUAACCUUUCAUGGGUCAAUCCUGUCAUCUGAGAAAGCAUUGCAAGAAGAAGGUGCCACCAGAGGCAUCAUUUACAGGUCAGGAGCUGCAACCUCUGAAGAAAGGCCUAUUUCUUGAAAAACAUUCUUUCAAAACAAAACUUUCAACUCCUGUUUAAUACCAACAUCAAACAUUUUAAAAACAACAUCUAUUUGUCCUUCAUAUUCUGUACAUUUAAAGAUUGUUUUGAAACUGGUAAAAAAAGAAAUUCAUCUGUUAUUAAAAUGGCCAAGAAAAAGACCUGUUAAGUUUAAGGUAGAACUUGAGCAGCUUAUAAAUAGCUAUGUGAGUGGCAUGGACUGUAUCACAUGAAACCAGUAAUUUUUACUUAAAAAUAAAAGGAAUUUCAGUUCAGUAUA